This 253-nucleotide ribosomal RNA is filed under the name uncultured bacterium. Its description in RNAcentral is "partial 16S ribosomal RNA". It matches the Rfam family "Bacterial small subunit ribosomal RNA", at positions 524 to 776 of the family's 1533-position model. The record is from RNAcentral.
UACGAAGGGGGCUAGCGUUGUUCGGAAUCACUGGGCGUAAAGCGCACGUAGGCGGUUCGUUAUGUCGGAUGUGAAAGCCCUUGGCUUAACCGAGGAAGUGCAUCCGAAACUGGCGAGCUAGAGUACGAAAGAGGAUCGCGGAAUUCCCGGUGUAGAGGUGAAAUUCGUAGAUAUCGGGAGGAACACCGGUGGCGAAGGCGGCGAUCUGGGUCGAUACUGACGCUGAGGUGCGAAAGCGUGGGGAGCAAACAGG